Molecule: ribosomal RNA, 305 nt
Filed under: uncultured bacterium
Lineage: Bacteria
Description: bacterial SSU rRNA
Rfam family: Bacterial small subunit ribosomal RNA
Source: RNAcentral
UUGUCCUACGGGCCGCAGCAGUGAGGUAUAUUGGUUUUUGGGGGAGCGCCUGAACCAGCCAAGUCGCGUGAGGGAGUACUGCCCUAUGGGUUGUAAACCUCUUUUGUCGGGGAGCAAAAGCCGGACGUGUCCGGCUGUGAGAGUACCCGAAGAAAAAGCAUCGGCUAACUCCGUGCCAGCAGCCGCGGUAAUACGGAGGAUGCGAGCGUUAUCCGGAUUUAUUGGGUUUAAAGGGUGCGCAGGCGGAUUUUUAAGUCAGCGGUCAAAUCGUGGGGCUCAACCCCAUCCAGCCGUUGAAACUGGGG